This 72-nucleotide transfer RNA is filed under the name Marmota monax (woodchuck). Its description in RNAcentral is "tRNA.Ala". The record is from RNAcentral. Lineage: Eukaryota; Metazoa; Chordata; Mammalia; Rodentia; Sciuridae.
UUGGGUGGAGCUCAGUGGUACAGCACAUGCCUGGCAUGUGUGAGGCCCUGAGUUCAAUCUCCAGUUCCAAAA